Molecule: ribosomal RNA, 764 nt
Filed under: uncultured bacterium
Lineage: Bacteria
Description: bacterial SSU rRNA
Rfam family: Bacterial small subunit ribosomal RNA
Source: RNAcentral
UGACGCUCAUGGACGAAAGCCAGGGGAGCGAAAGGGAUUAGAUACCCCUGUAGUCCUGGCCGUAAACGAUGAACACUAGGCGUCGGGGGAAUCGACCCCCUCGGUGUCGUAGCCAACGCGUUAAGUGUUCCGCCUGGGGAGUACGCACGCAAGUGUGAAACUCAAAGGAAUUGACGGGGGCCCGCACAAGCGGUGGAGUAUGUGGUUUAAUUCGAUGCAACGCGAAGAACCUUACCAGGGUUUGACAUCCUGCGAAUCUCUUGGAAACGAGAGAGUGCCUUCGGGAACGCAGUGACAGGUGGUGCAUGGCUGUCGUCAGCUCGUGUCGUGAGAUGUUGGGUUAAGUCCCGCAACGAGCGCAACCCACGUCUUUAGUUGCCAGCAUUUAGUUGGGCACUCUAGAGAGACCGCCGGUGAUAAACCGGAGGAAGGUGUGGAUGACGUCAAGUCAUCAUGCCCCUUACAUCCUGGGCUACACACGUACUACAAUGCUACGGACAAAGGGCAGCAAACUCGCGAGAGCAAGCAAAUCCCAUAAACCGUGGCUCAGUUCAGAUCGUAGGCUGCAACUCGCCUACGUGAAGGAGGAAUCGCUAGUAAUCGCAGGCCAGCAUACUGCGGUGAAUACGUUCCCGGGCCUUGUACACACCGCCCGUCACACCAUGGAAGUUAGCCACGCCCGAAGUCGUUACUCCAACCCUUGUGGAGGAGGACGCCGAAGGUGGGGCUGAUGACUGGGGUGAAGUCGUAACAAGGUAACCGUA